RNAcentral lists this non-coding RNA (31 nucleotides) under Mus musculus (house mouse). The record is from RNAcentral. Lineage: Eukaryota; Metazoa; Chordata; Mammalia; Rodentia; Muridae.
UUGAAUUUCAGAAAUACCCAGAGCUGAGUUU